UCGGGAAUAUUAGAAAUUGACGAAAGUCUGAUCUAGCAACACCGCGUGUGCGAAGAAGGCCUUCGGGUUGUAAAGCAAUUUUUGGCAGGAUUAGGAAGGAAUGUACUUCCAGAAUAAGUCUCGGCUAACUACGUGCCAGCAGCCGCGGUAACACGUAGGAGGCAAACGUUAUCCGGAUUUACUGGGCGUAAAGCGCGUGUAGGUGGUUCUGUAAGUAGGGCGUGAAAGCUCCUGGCUCAACUGGGAGAGGCCGUUCUAAACUGCAGAGCUAGAGGAUGGUAGAGGGAGGUGGAAUUCCGGGUGUAGCGGUGGAAUGCGCAGAUAUCCGGAGGAACACCAGUGGCGAAAGCGGCCUCCUGGACCAAUACUGACACUCAGACGCGAAAGCGAGGGUAGCAAACG
Molecule: ribosomal RNA, 402 nt
Filed under: uncultured prokaryote
Description: bacterial SSU rRNA
Rfam family: Bacterial small subunit ribosomal RNA
Source: RNAcentral